CCGUAGCUCAGUUGGAUAGAGCAUCUGCCUUCUAAGCAGAGGGUCGCAGGUUCGAGUCCUGCCGGUCCUGCCA
RNAcentral lists this transfer RNA (73 nucleotides) under Bryobacterales bacterium. Its description in RNAcentral is "tRNA-Arg". It matches the Rfam family "tRNA". From Rfam's summary of the family: Transfer RNA (tRNA) molecules are approximately 80 nucleotides in length. The record is from RNAcentral. Lineage: Bacteria; Pseudomonadati; Acidobacteriota; Terriglobia; Bryobacterales.